Schizosaccharomyces pombe (fission yeast) is the source of this 792-nucleotide non-coding RNA. NCBI's taxonomy places the organism in Eukaryota, Fungi, Ascomycota, Schizosaccharomycetes, Schizosaccharomycetales, Schizosaccharomycetaceae. The record is from the annotation of a GenBank genome assembly.
AAAAUUUGAAUUUAGCUACAGAGGUUGUAAAAAAGAAAUGUAAGCGCGACAAUGAUUUCACGAAUGAAAAGAACCCACUUACUGUUUUUAUUUGUGGGUUUUUUUUUAUCGUUUCUGUUAUUUGGCAGGGUAAGAAUAUAUUCUUCCAAUACAUCCCUUUUGACUAAGCAUUUAGUUAAUUUGCUAAUGUCCAAUGCAUCAAUCUAAAUUAUAUAGCUGAAUGUUUAACAAACAAAUUUGACUUUGAAUUAAUCGAGACUGAUUGUGAACUUCUAUAAACAUUCGAUCAUACUAGAUUUUUCAAGCUACAAUUUUACCAUAAUCUAUUUCAUAGUAAAUGGCCAGAAAAUUUUUGGAAAACUAACGUACCCAAGAUGAAUUAUAAGGAAUUUUUAUUUGGGCGUGCAAGGAAUGGUCGAAAGAAUAAGCAUAAACAUUAUAUUUACAUGAGAUUAUAGACAUGAACUUCACAUGAUCAAAGAAGAACGAGUUUCAUUCCUUUGUCAUUAUUGUUACAAUAUAAAGUUUCAGAAGAAUGAAGAGAAUUAAACAAUACGAUCCAAGGAUAGCAAUAAAAGUCCCAUAACGGUAAAGAUGCAAAAAAGCAGACGAGCGGUCCGACUACUUCUAGAUUUGGCCUUGAUUAGUUGUUGAUUACCCCCAGACAGCGAAUCCAUGACAUUAAGGGCAUCAUCAUAAAGUUUUUCAGCCGCACUUGAUUGAAUAGAUAGUUGAGCGGAUAUUUCCGACUGAAGUCUAGUAAUAUCAGCCAAAGAUUUCCCUGUAUCACGU